Molecule: small nuclear RNA, 152 nt
Filed under: Nelumbo nucifera (sacred lotus)
Lineage: Eukaryota; Viridiplantae; Streptophyta; Magnoliopsida; Proteales; Nelumbonaceae
Description: U4 spliceosomal RNA
Rfam family: U4 spliceosomal RNA
About the family: U4 small nuclear RNA (U4 snRNA) is a component of the major U2-dependent spliceosome. The structure of U4 snRNA from yeast and human has been reported. U4 snRNA presents a k-turn RNA motif in the 5p-SL related to recognition of Snu13 protein.
Source: Rfam by way of RNAcentral
AUCUUUGCGCUUGGGGCAAUGACGCAGUCAAUGAGGUAUUAACCGAGGCGCGUCAAUUGCUGGUUGAAAACUAUUUCCAAACCCCCUCUUAGGCCUGGGCUUUCCCCUGGCCUCUGAGAAUUUCUGGAAGGGUCCCAUAAUUGGGUAAGACC